This 253-nucleotide ribosomal RNA is filed under the name uncultured bacterium. RNAcentral describes it as "partial 16S ribosomal RNA". It matches the Rfam family "Bacterial small subunit ribosomal RNA", at positions 524 to 776 of the family's 1533-position model. The record is from RNAcentral.
UACGUAGGGGGCAAGCGUUGUCCGGAAUCACUGGGCGUAAAGGGCGCGUAGGUGGCGGCCCAAGUCCGUGGUGAAAGCUCGCCGCUUAACGGCGAGUCGGCCACGGAGACUGGGUGGCUCGAGCACUGUAGGGGCAGAUGGAAUUCCGGGUGUAGCGGUGGAAUGCGUAGAGAUCCGGAAGAACACCAGUGGCGAAGGCGGUCUGCUGGGCAGUUGCUGACACUGAUGCGCGGCAGCGUGGGGAGCAAACGGG